UACGUAGGGGCAAGCGUUGUCCGGAAUUAUUGGCGUAAAGCGCGCGCAGGCGGUUCGUUAAGUCUGAUGGUAAAGCCCGGGCUCAACCCGGUAUUCAUUGAACUGGCGGACUGGAGUGCAGGAGAGGGAAGCGGAAUUCACGUGUAGCGGUGAAAUGCGUAGAGAUGUGGAGGAACACCAGUGGCGAAGGCGGCUCCUGGCCUGUACUGACGCUGAGGAGCGAAAGCGUGGGGAGCGAACAGG
RNAcentral lists this ribosomal RNA (243 nucleotides) under uncultured bacterium. RNAcentral describes it as "partial 16S ribosomal RNA". It matches the Rfam family "Bacterial small subunit ribosomal RNA", at positions 524 to 776 of the family's 1533-position model. The record is from RNAcentral.